RNAcentral lists this transfer RNA (76 nucleotides) under Oscillospiraceae bacterium. Its description in RNAcentral is "tRNA-Ile". The record is from RNAcentral. Lineage: Bacteria; Bacillati; Bacillota; Clostridia; Eubacteriales; Oscillospiraceae.
GGGUCUGUAGCUCAAUAGGUAGAGCCGGCGGCUCAUAACCGCCUGGUUUUCGGUUCGAGACCGGACAGACCCACCA